CAACAUUUUUCGAAUUUCUAGAUUAACCGUUCACGAGCACAGAAGUGGCUUCUUUUUAUGGUUAAUCAAGUGACUAAAUUAAUUGUACUUAAUUUUACCACCACGUAUAUGUGAGGCUAAAAGCAUUUUGUACUUAAUUUUAAAAUUAGCAAUGUGCUUUGGAUGUUUUUUCGGCGAAUUUGGUUAUUAUACGACAAUGCGGCAUUUAACAUUAUAUGGUAAGUAACCUAUCAACAUUCUAAACUAUAGACGCCUGUGGCCAUCUCUACCGGAUAAUCAGGAGUGUUUCUCAUAUCUACCUAUCAUGAAUACCUCUUCCGAUUACAUGCGUGGAUACAGGACUUCGUUUAGGAAGACCGGGGGGAAGCAAUUUUUUUGUGAUCUUUCAGAAAAUUCGGUCGUCUAGUAGGCUAGAAUUAAAAGCAGUAGUGACUUAGAUAAAAGCUUCAAACAGUACGUACAGUGUUUGAUUAGAUAAAGAGUGCGCGUGGUGAAAUGAACACUCUUAUAAGGACUUGGAUAGAAAAUAGAGCUCGAAUGAUAAAAAUUAAUAAUUAAUAUCAUGACGACCUAACUAUAAAUUGUGUCUUCUAGCGGGAGUCAAUUUUUGGUCCUUUUUAUUACUCAAUUUUAGUUUGCUUAUUUAAUGAAGCUGGACUUAUCGGUCGUCAUUUUAUCUUCGCAUACAUACUGCUUUUCUAUAUUCGGGUUUUGAUGUAAACUUAUUAAAUGGAAUAAUUAGCAGCGAUUUGAUAAGGUACUCAUAAUGGUCAACAUACAACGAAUUAUAGCUCAAUACGAAGAAAACUAUAUACACACGUGGAUGCCAAUAAGAAAAGGGUGGAUAGAAUGAUGGAAUGCAUAUCGAAAAGAAAAAUGAGUUUGCUGCUGUUUAUCAUAAAGGAAUGGUUAUGGAAUUUGCACCUUGUACAUGGAUGUAAUACUUGAGGAAGGUUGAGUUCCAUCAGGUCCGAAUAUCGAAUUCAUACACGACAAAAUGUACCAGCAACCUGACGUAACGACAGAACGUACCAUAUAAAAAAAACGACUGACUGCCUGUGAAGAGUCUGCUAAUUGCUUGAAGAUAUUUUGGAUCCUGCGAAACGUAGCACUUUUAUUCACCGAUAUUUAUUUUUUUAUUAAGUAAUUAUUUAAGCAGGCUGAGUCCUAUAGUUUAUUCAGGCGUUGGAUUGGCAGAAUGGCCAUUUUGGUGUGCUCAAAAUCGUCAAAUGAUGGUCUCAAAUGUCAGAAUGAGAAUGCCACUGAUCAUGAGGAGACAAUAAUUUAACAGGCAUCCCCUCUCCAUUUCUUUAUCAUGUAUAUAUCAAUAUUAUGGUAACUAAGGGCCAUUUCCAGGUAAACGUGGUACCAAUCUUACAUACAAAAUUAUGAAGAUGAGGGAAGGUGGGAAGCGUCUUGAUAUAGAAAAACGAAAAUAUAACAAAAUGCAUAAUAGGUUUGGUAAGAGGAAAGACGAAAUACAAAAGGAAGCAGGAGAAACUAAUGAUAGAGACGUAGACAGAGAGUAAAACUGCAUUAAAACGUGUAUCGAUUUUGAUGCUAGAGAUCUUAAAAAAGAACGAAGGUAGGAGCCCUGGAUAGAAAGCGAGGUUGUAGGAUUAUUAAUAACAAGAUUAAAAAAGUUACAAGGCAAAUAAGUAGGAAAUAAUUUGGAAGUGUAGAAUUGGGGGGCAAUUGAGGAAAAGUGGAUUCAUAUGAGGUGUAAAGAAGUAAAACGAAUGUUUGCAGCAGGUAAAAUAGAUGAGGUUUAUAAAUAAUUAAAAGAAAUUUCAGAAGAAAAGGUACAGCAGUUGCAAUUUAAGAAACGAGGCAGGUCAAGAGUUAGGAGAUGUAUUAGAGAAUAACGGUAUGCCAUAAACACGCCAUAAUGAUAGAAGAAGUUGAUUAAGCAUUAAAAAGAUUAAAGAGUAAUAAGACUGCUUUAGGACUGAUGACUCUAUGAUCAUUCCGUAAUCUAGUGUCGAUACCGCUUCACUUUUUACUUAUAGGUACCUCGGUUGUAACAUUAAAUUAUUAUUAAAGAUAUUUUAAAUG
This 2055-nucleotide long non-coding RNA is filed under the name Agrilus planipennis (emerald ash borer). Its description in RNAcentral is "uncharacterized LOC108740564, transcript variant X1". The record is from RNAcentral. Lineage: Eukaryota; Metazoa; Arthropoda; Insecta; Coleoptera; Buprestidae.